RNAcentral lists this ribosomal RNA (498 nucleotides) under uncultured bacterium. Its description in RNAcentral is "partial 16S ribosomal RNA". It matches the Rfam family "Bacterial small subunit ribosomal RNA", at positions 29 to 523 of the family's 1533-position model. The record is from RNAcentral.
AUUGAACGCUGGCGGCAUGCCUUACACAUGCAAGUCGAACGGUAACGCGGGGCAACCUGGCGACGAGUGGCGAACGGGUGAGUAAUGUAUCGGAACGUGCCCAGUUGUGGGGGAUAACUGCUCGAAAAAGCAGCUAAUACCGCAUACGACCUGAGGGUGAAAGCGGGGGAUCGCAAGACCUCGCGCAAUUGGAGCGGCCGAUAUCAGAUUAGGUAGUUGGUGGGGUAAAGGCUCACCAAGCCGACGAUCUGUAGCUGGUCUGAGAGGACGACCAGCCACACUGGGACUGAGACACGGCCCAGACUCCUACGGGAGGCAGCAGUGGGGAAUUUUGGACAAUGGGCGCAAGCCUGAUCCAGCCAUGCCGCGUGCGGGAAGAAGGCCUUCGGGUUGUAAACCGCUUUUGUCAGGGAAGAAAAGGCUCCUGUUAAUACCGGGGGCUCAUGACGGUACCUGAAGAAUAAGCACCGGCUAACUACGUGCCAGCCGCCGCCGUAA